AUCCUUCAAGCCUCAAGCUCUGAGUCUGCUGCCUUGGUGUGCUUCAGUGUAACAUCUCACACUUGUUUCAUUGAAUAGCACAAAUGCAAGAGUUCCUCAUUCCCUCAGACUCUCCCUCUUCCAAUACACUGAAAAGAUUUGAAAGAUUUGAGGGGAAAGAUCAAGAAUUAGGUCCAAUUUCCAUAUUCAGAGCUUAUUUAUAAAUAUAUACAUUGGAAGACCAAAUGUAAAUAACCUAGCUAGGAA
Molecule: long non-coding RNA, 246 nt
Organism: Telopea speciosissima
Lineage: Eukaryota; Viridiplantae; Streptophyta; Magnoliopsida; Proteales; Proteaceae
Exons: 3
Source: RefSeq, a predicted model, not a curated record